RNAcentral lists this unclassified non-coding RNA (329 nucleotides) under plant metagenome. RNAcentral's name for it is "partial contains 5.8S ribosomal RNA, internal transcribed spacer 2, and large subunit ribosomal RNA". The stretch from base 1 to 105 matches the Rfam family "5.8S ribosomal RNA", at positions 50 to 154 of the family's 154-position model. The record is from RNAcentral.
GAAAUGCGAUAAGUAAUGUGAAUUGCAGAAUUCCGUGAAUCAUCGAAUCUUUGAACGCACAUUGCGCCCUCUGGUAUUCCGGGGGGCAUGCCUGUCCGAGCGUCAUGGCGAACCCCUCAAGCACGGCUUGUGUGAUGGGCCCUCCCGCGUCUUGGUCGUCAAGACGGGCCCGAAAAGCAGUGGCGGCUUCGCGGUUAUCCGAUCAGCCAGAGCGUAUGGGGACUUUCUCUCUGUCACACGCCCGCGGCGCGGACCGACGCCUGUCGACCUUUAUUCAUCUUUUUCUCGGUUGACCUCGGAUCAGGUAGGGAUACCCGCUGAACUUAAGC